Molecule: unclassified non-coding RNA, 327 nt
Filed under: soil metagenome
Description: partial contains 5.8S ribosomal RNA, internal transcribed spacer 2, and large subunit ribosomal RNA
Rfam family: 5.8S ribosomal RNA (bases 1-120)
Source: RNAcentral
GAUGAAGAACGUAGCGAAAUGCGAUAAGUAAUGUGAAUUGCAGAAUUCAGUGAAUCAUCGAAUCUUUGAACGCACAUUGCGCCCUUUGGUAUUCCGAAGGGCAUGCCUGUUCGAGCGUCAUUUCACCACUCAAGCCUGGCUUGGUAUUGGGCGCCGCGGUCGAUCCGCGCGCCUCAAAGUCUCCGGCUGAGCUGUCCGUCUCUAAGCGUUGUGAUUUCAUUAAUCGCUUCGGAGUGCGGGCGGCCGCGGCCGUUAAAUCUUUCACAAGGUUGACCUCGGAUCAGGUAGGGAUACCCGCUGAAUUUAAGCAUAUCAAUAAGCGGAGGA